Molecule: RNA transcript, 1585 nt
Organism: Neopsephotus bourkii (Bourke's parrot)
Lineage: Eukaryota; Metazoa; Chordata; Aves; Psittaciformes; Psittacidae
Gene: BCKDHB
Gene name: branched chain keto acid dehydrogenase E1 subunit beta
Exons: 12
Source: RefSeq, a predicted model, not a curated record
GCCCCUGUACAGCGCGCGGCGGCCCCUGACAACGGUGGGCAUGGCGGCUGCGGGGCUGGCUCUGGCGCUGCGAGGGGCGCUCCCCUCCGGGGCGGCGGCAGUGACGGUGCGCUGCCGCGGCGGGCUCUGGAGCCGCCUGCCCCCGCCCGCGCCCCGCCGGUCCGCGGCGCACUUCUCUUUCCAGCCGGACCCGGCGCCCACCGAGUACGGUGAGACGCAGAAGAUGAAUCUCUUUCAAUCCAUAACAAGUGCCUUGGACAAUGCUCUAGCCAAAGAUCCGACUGCAGUAAUAUUUGGUGAAGAUGUGGCCUUUGGUGGAGUCUUCAGGUGUACAGUUGGCUUGCGAGACAAAUAUGGUAAAGAUAGAGUUUUCAACACCCCCUUGUGUGAACAAGGAAUUGUUGGCUUCGGUAUUGGAAUUGCUGUUACGGGUGCUACAGCCAUUGCAGAAAUUCAGUUUGCAGAUUACAUUUUUCCAGCAUUUGAUCAGAUUGUUAAUGAAGCAGCAAAAUAUCGUUACCGCUCCGGAGAUCUGUUUAAUUGUGGGAACCUCACCAUCAGAGCUCCCUGGGGCUGCGUGGGUCAUGGUGCACUAUAUCACUCUCAGAGUCCAGAAGCUUUUUUUGCUCAUUGUCCUGGAAUAAAGAUUGUUAUUCCAAGGAGUCCUCUUCAGGCCAAAGGACUGCUCCUGUCAUGCAUAGAGGACAAAAAUCCAUGCAUAUUCUUUGAACCUAAAAUACUUUACAGAGCUGCAGUGGAACAAGUUCCUGUGGAUCCCUACUACAUUCCCCUGUCUCAAGCUGAGGUACUGCAGACAGGCAGUGAUGUGACACUGGUUGCUUGGGGCACUCAGGUACAUGUGAUCAAAGAAGUGGCAGCAAUGGCUCAAGAAAAGCUUGGUGUGUCCUGUGAAGUUAUUGAUCUGAGGACCAUAUUACCCUGGGAUACAGAGACCAUUUGCAAGUCAGUGGUGAAGACCGGGCGGUUGCUGAUAAGCCACGAGGCUCCCUUGACAGGAGGAUUUGCUUCUGAAAUCAGUUCCACAGUUCAGGAGGAAUGCUUUUUGAAUUUAGAAGCUCCUAUUUCGAGAGUAUGUGGCUAUGACACUCCUUUCCCUCACAUCUUUGAGCCUUUCUACAUCCCAGACAAAUGGAAAUGCUAUGAUGCUAUUCUAAAAAUGAUUAACUACUGAACAGCAGUACAGUGAAGCUUUCCUAAAGAGAAUGGCUUGUAUCUGCUCUUUGAGAGAUGAGAACAACAGGGAAAUAACGGAAGUUGCCUUCAGAACUCUUGACGCUUUGCUCAGAUUUUUUGGGUUUGGAAUUCACAUAGCAGACUGUUUUCUCUGAACUCAGCUAUCCUUAAUAUUCAUCUUGACUAUUCUUCCGAAUAUUCAAAUCUUCCUUAAUUAUGAAAUCAGUGUUGGGCAGGUGAUUGCUGUAAGAAAUAGUUUCAGAUGUAUUUAAAGAUAUUCCAGAUGUUGUAUGAAUGUUUCACAUUGCCAUGUUUCACUAGGUUACAUCUCUAGAAUUCACUGUGUAAAUAUUGUAAGCAGGAUUUUAUUGAAUAAAACAUAUCAUGCACA